AGGGGGUUAGCCAAGCUGGUAAGGCAGCGGAUUUUGAUUCCGCCAUUUCGAAGGUUCGAGUCCUUCACCCUCUGCCA
This 77-nucleotide transfer RNA is filed under the name Burkholderia cenocepacia. RNAcentral describes it as "tRNA-Gln". It matches the Rfam family "tRNA". Rfam says of the family: Transfer RNA (tRNA) molecules are approximately 80 nucleotides in length. Their secondary structure includes four short double-helical elements and three loops (D, anti-codon, and T loops). Further hydrogen bonds mediate the characteristic L-shaped molecular structure. tRNAs have two regions of fundamental functional importance: the anti-codon, which is responsible for specific mRNA codon recognition, and the 3' end, to which the tRNAs corresponding amino acid is attached (by aminoacyl-tRNA synthetases). tRNAs cope with the degeneracy of the genetic code in two manners: having more than one tRNA (with a specific anti-codon) for a particular amino acid; and 'wobble' base-pairing, i.e. permitting non-standard base-pairing at the 3rd anti-codon position. The record is from RNAcentral. Lineage: Bacteria; Pseudomonadati; Pseudomonadota; Betaproteobacteria; Burkholderiales; Burkholderiaceae.